UACAGAGGUCCCGAGCGUUGUUCGGAUUCACUGGGCGUAAAGGGUGCGUAGGUGGCUUGAAAAGUUUGAUGUGAAAGCUCAGGGCUUAACCCUGAAAUGGCAUUGAAUACUGUCGGGCUGGAGGUUUGGAGGGGGGACUGGAAUUCUUGGUGUAGCAGUGAAAUGCGUAGAUAUCAAGAGGAACACCUGCGGCGAAGGCGGGUUGCUGGGCUGACACUGACGCUGAGGCGCGAAAGCCAGGGGAGCGAACGGG
This 253-nucleotide ribosomal RNA is filed under the name uncultured bacterium. RNAcentral's name for it is "partial 16S ribosomal RNA". It matches the Rfam family "Bacterial small subunit ribosomal RNA", at positions 524 to 776 of the family's 1533-position model. The record is from RNAcentral.